CUGAAAACCGCUCUGCGCGACAAAGGGGAGGGUCUGCUUGCGCGCUCACGUGCGCGCCCACCUCCCGUCUGCUAUCCGAUCCUACGCGGUCUAUUCGCUGACUCAGUGCCUUAAGCAGCAUCACCGUUCACCUGAACACAGCUACAGCAUCCUCUGCGGAGAAAUACAUCAGCAAUGGCUAAAACAGCAACCGCAUAUAAAGAGAAGAUGAAGGAGUUGUCUGUCCUCUCCCUCAUCUGCUCCUGCUUCUACCCAGAGGCACGCAACAAGCUUGUGCGUGAGUUUGAAGACAUGGAGGUGAAACCUAUAAACAAGCGGGCUUCUGGCCAGGCGUUUGAGGUGAUUCUCAAGCCUGUGUCGCCGGUGUCAGAUGUGGCCCACAACCUCCCCUUAACCCCCAAGAGGGAUAUCUCCUUGGAGGACAUUGAGAAGAAACUUGAGGCUGCUGAAGAACGGAGGAAGUAUCAGGAGGCCCAGGUGCUGAGGGCUUUGGCAGAAAAGCGAGAGCAUGAGAGGGACGUGUUGCUAAAGGCCAUGGAAGAGAACAGCAACUUCAGCAAGAUGGCAGAGGAGAAGCUCCAGCUGAAGAUGGAGCAGAUCAAGGAGAACCGUGAGGCCCAUCUGGCAGCCAUGAUUGAGCGUCUACAGGAGAAGGAGAGACAUGCAGCCAUGGUGCGCAAGAACAAAGAACUGAGGGAAGAGCUGACAGCAUGAGCCUCACACAAGUCCUGACUUCCAUGGUCCAUCAACAUCCCUCCAUCCUCCUCCUGCCAUCACCCUCCUUAGAACAGACACCCAACCCUGGAGGCCGAGAGAACGACGGUUGGUGUACCUAGACUCCUCAGCAUAUCAGCGUAUCCCAUCUGUAUCUUCCUCACGCACACACCUACUCAUUCUGGAACACGCACGCUUGGAACUUAACAAUACGCCAAACCCACUGAUUCAUAAAGUGUCACUUCCUCUGAAAUGAGCUUGAUAAUGAACUUGAUAGGUGCUUUAUUGUUAUUAAGAAUGUCUUUGCCCAAUGGGAGCAGCUGUUUAUACACUUGCAGAUUCCCGCUUACCCUGACUACUUUCUUUGUCAAUGAAUUCUCAUCUUUAGCCAAAUCAAUAGCUCUGUUACGUACACAGUAUUUGGGGAUUGGUCUCUUGAAUGUUAUGACACCAUACUGGUACCAUGCAUAUUGUCUUGGACAGUGGAAUGUGCUGUUGCUCCCACCUUGAUAGUGAUAGUGUGAACAUAACGUAUGUCUGUGUGGGUGUGUGUGAAUGCAAAUUUACCACAAGGCAUCACUAGCCUCUGCUCUCCUUAGGGGAUUAGAUGGAGAAUGGAUGCAGGAUGCUUUACAUUCAGCACACUGAACUAGUCUCUUUUUAUUAUACAAUACCACUGAUAUCUGCUUGCAUCCUCUGCUGCUUGUGUUUCUCCCUUCAUAUAUUUCUCUGUGAAAGCUUCGCUGAAUAAAGGUUUGGGGUUCUGUGAACAUGGCAUGCACCAUCUAAUACUUUUCUGUGCUAAAAGAGGAGGGAAAAUGUAAACUG
This is an RNA transcript of Micropterus dolomieu (smallmouth bass), 1542 nucleotides long. It is a transcript of the gene named stathmin 2a, with no coding region annotated. The transcript has 6 exons. NCBI's taxonomy places the organism in Eukaryota, Metazoa, Chordata, Actinopteri, Centrarchiformes, Centrarchidae. The record is from RefSeq and is a predicted model, not a curated record.